GAUUAAGUUAUUAAGGGCGCACGGUGGAUGCCUUGGCACUAGAAGCCGAUGAAGGACGUUACUAACGACGAUAUGCUUUGGGGAGCUGUAAGUAAGCUUUGAUCCAGAGAUUUCCGAAUGGGGAAACCCAGCAUGAGUUAUGUCAUGUUAUCGAUAUGUGAAUACAUAGCAUAUCAGAAGGCACACCCGGAGAACUGAAACAUCUUAGUACCCGGAGGAAGAGAAAGAAAAUUCGAUUCCCUUAGUAGCGGCGAGCGAAACGGGAAGAGCCCAAACCAACAAGCUUGCUUGUUGGGGUUGUAGGACACUCUAUACGGAGUUACAAAGGACGACAUUAGACGAAUCAUCUGGAAAGAUGAAUCAAAGAAGGUAAUAAUCCUGUAGUCGAAAAUGUUGUCUCUCUUGAGUGGAUCCUGAGNACGANGGAACACGUNAAAUUCCGUCCGAAUCUGGGAGGACCAUCUCCUAAGGCUAAAUACUCUCUAGUGACCGAUAGUGAACCAGUACCGUGAGGGAAAGGUGAAAAGCACCCCGGAAGGGGAGUGAAAUAGAACCUGAAACCGUGUGCUUACAAGUAGUCAGAGCCCGUUAAUGGGUGAUGGCGUGCCUUUUGUAGAAUGAACCGGCGAGUUACGAUUUGAUGCAAGGUUAAGCAGUAAAUGUGGAGCCGUAGCGAAAGCGAGUCUGAAUAGGGCGUUUAGUAUUUGGUCGUAGACCCGAAACCAGGUGAUCUACCCUUGGUCAGGUUGAAGUUCAGGUAACACUGAAUGGAGGACCGAACCGACUUACGUUGAAAAGUGAGCGGAUGAACUGAGGGUAGCGGAGAAAUUCNAAUCGAANCNNNNANUAGCUGGUUCUCUCCGAAAUAGCUUUAGGGCUAGCCUCAAGUGAUGAUUAUUGGAGGUAGAGCACUGUUUGGACGAGGGGCCCCUCUCGGGUUACCGAAUUCAGACAAACUCCGAAUGCCAAUUAAUUUAACUUGGGAGUCAGAACAUGGGUGAUAAGGUCCGUGUUCGAAAGGGAAACAGCCCAGACCACCAGCUAAGGUCCCAAAAUAUAUGUUAAGUGGAAAAGGAUGUGGCGUUGCCCAGACAACUAGGAUGUUGGCUUAGAAGCAGCCAUCAUUUAAAGAGUGCGUAAUAGCUCACUAGUCGAGUGACACUGCGCCGAAAAUGUACCGGGGCUAAACAUAUUACCGAAGCUGUGGAUUGUCCUUUGGACAAUGGUAGGAGAGCGUUCUAAGGGCGUUGAAGCAUGAUCGUAAGGACAUGUGGAGCGCUUAGAAGUGAGAAUGCCGGUGUGAGUAGCGAAAGACGGGUGAGAAUCCCGUCCACCGAUUGACUAAGGUUUCCAGAGGAAGGCUCGUCCGCUCUGGGUUAGUCGGGUCCUAAGCUGAGGCCGACAGGCGUAGGCGAUGGAUAACAGGUUGAUAUUCCUGUACCACCUAUAAUCGUUUUAAUCGAUGGGGGGACGCAGUAGGAUAGGCGAAGCGUGCGAUUGGAUUGCACGUCUAAGCAGUAAGGCUGAGUAUUAGGCAAAUCCGGUACUCGUUAAGGCUGAGCUGUGAUGGGGAGAAGACAUUGAGUCUUCGAGUCGUUGAUUUCACACUGCCGAGAAAAGCCUCUAGAUAGAAAAUAGGUGCCCGUACCGCAAACCGACACAGGUAGUCAAGAUGAGAAUUCUAAGGUGAGCGAGCGAACUCUCGUUAAGGAACUCGGCANAAUGACCCCGUAACUNNGGAGAAGGGGUGCUCUUUAGGGUUAACGCCCAGAAGAGCCGCAGUGAAUAGGCCCAAGCGACUGUUUAUCAAAAACACAGGUCUCUGCUAAACCGUAAGGUGAUGUAUAGGGGCUGACGCCUGCCCGGUGCUGGAAGGUUAAGAGGAGUGGUUAGCUUCUGCGAAGCUACGAAUCGAAGCCCCAGUAAACGGCGGCCGUAACUAUAACGGUCCUAAGGUAGCGAAAUUCCUUGUCGGGUAAGUUCCGACCCGCACGAAAGGCGUAACGAUUUGGGCACUGUCUCAACGAGAGACUCGGUGAAAUCAUAGUACCUGUGAAGAUGCAGGUUACCCGCGACAGGACGGAAAGACCCCGUGGAGCUUUACUGUAGCCUGAUAUUGAAAUUCGGCACAGCUUGUACAGGAUAGGUAGGAGCCUUUGAAACGUGAGCGCUAGCUUACGUGGAGGCGCUGGUGGGAUACUACCCUAGCUGUGUUGGCUUUCUAACCCGCACCACUUAUCGUGGUGGGAGACAGUGUCAGGCGGGCAGUUUGACUGGGGCGGUCGCCUCCUAAAAGGUAACGGAGGCGCUCAAAGGUUCCCUCAGAAUGGUUGGAAAUCAUUCAUAGAGUGUAAAGGCAUAAGGGAGCUUGACUGCGAGACCUACAAGUCGAGCAGGGUCGAAAGACGGACUUAGUGAUCCGGUGGUUCCGCAUGGAAGGGCCAUCGCUCAACGGAUAAAAGCUACCCCGGGGAUAACAGGCUUAUCUCCCCCAAGAGUUCACAUCGACGGGGAGGUUUGGCACCUCGAUGUCGGCUCAUCGCAUCCUGGGGCUGUAGUCGGUCCCAAGGGUUGGGCUGUUCGCCCAUUAAAGCGGUACGCGAGCUGGGUUCAGAACGUCGUGAGACAGUUCGGUCCCUAUCCGUCGUGGGCGUAGGAAAUUUGAGAGGAGCUGUCCUUAGUACGAGAGGACCGGGAUGGACAUACCUCUGGUGUACCAGUUGUCGUGCCAACGGCAUAGCUGGGUAGCUAUGUGUGGACGGGAUAAGUGCUGAAAGCAUCUAAGCAUGAAGCCCCCCUCAAGAUGAGAUUUCCCAACUUCGGUUAUAAGAUCCCUCAAAGAUGAUGAGGUUAAUAGGUUCGAGGUGGAAGCAUGGUGACAUGUGGAGCUGACGAAUACUAAUCGAUCGAAGACUUAAUCAA
RNAcentral lists this ribosomal RNA (2922 nucleotides) under Staphylococcus aureus. Its description in RNAcentral is "23S ribosomal RNA". It matches the Rfam family "Bacterial large subunit ribosomal RNA". The record is from RNAcentral. Lineage: Bacteria; Bacillati; Bacillota; Bacilli; Caryophanales; Staphylococcaceae.